Molecule: long non-coding RNA, 197 nt
Organism: Nannospalax galili (Upper Galilee mountains blind mole rat)
Lineage: Eukaryota; Metazoa; Chordata; Mammalia; Rodentia; Spalacidae
Exons: 3
Source: RefSeq, a predicted model, not a curated record
CAUGCUCAGUGCUUCUGACAUUUGGCAAAGGGACCAACGUUCUUCACGACAGUUGCCCUGGAAGAGGACGCCAUGACCUCCACCCUCACAGCCCUGCUCUGCCUUGGACUGACCCUUGUCCCCAGGAACCCAGUGCUGGCAGGAAUCCCACCCAAGCCUAAAAUCACAGUUGAACCAAAGUCUGUGUUCACUGCCCA